UCUUAUCGAACUUUAUUCACC
Molecule: non-coding RNA, 21 nt
Filed under: Caenorhabditis elegans
Lineage: Eukaryota; Metazoa; Nematoda; Chromadorea; Rhabditida; Rhabditidae
Source: RNAcentral